Marmota flaviventris (yellow-bellied marmot) is the source of this 848-nucleotide non-coding RNA. The record is from RefSeq and is a predicted model, not a curated record. Lineage: Eukaryota; Metazoa; Chordata; Mammalia; Rodentia; Sciuridae.
AACCAAACAAAAACAAAAGGGAGCCUGUCGUGCCCAGACCAUUCUUGAGGUUUAAGCUGACUUGGGAGACCAGCUCCCAUGGUCACGUUCAGCCAAAGCAGGCUGCUGAGUUGGCUCCAACACUGGGAAAACCCAGGCGACCUCACAGGCAAGAGAAGACUGCAGAUUGCACUCAAGCGGAGACAAGGGGCCGUAGGUGGAAACUGUGCCCCGGAGCGCGUGGGCAGAGCACUCUCUGGCCCCUCCGCAGCCUGGGUGAGAAGACUGGCCUGAAACAAGCCUUCAACGUUUCCCCUACCUGCCUGUCCUCCAGCACCAUCUCCAAAAUCUCAUCCGCUGCUGCCUCCUGGGACACCUGAGGAACUUCAAUCCCGGUCUCUCUACUUGUCUCCGAGACAGCUGCCCUCAAGUCUUUCCCUGCCUGUGGUCUCAUGCCAUCCCUCAUCAAGAGGUCAAGUCUCCUCCUUGGCUUCUCUUGAAUCUGUGCAGGCCCUGAUGACUUGUGUGACUACUAGGAAGUAGCAGAAGUGACAUUCUCUGACUUUCCAAUCGAGGUUAAAAAAAAAAAAAUCUUGCUGCUUCCAUCUGGAUCUCUUGGAAGUGAGUGGUGAGGUGAUGAGUGUGAUUAUUCUGAGACUACUGUUCUAUGAGAGGCACUGGAGGAGAGAGAGGACAAGGAGGACCAAGGCACUAUGUGUGCAGAAGGAGCCUCAUCUCAGAAGUGGGUCCUCAAGUCUCAGCCUCAACACUGACACCACAGGGCUCAGAGCCCAGCAGCCUGGAGGAGACCUUCUUAAAUUUCUGAUUCCACACAGCAUUCAGGCAAAAUAAAAUGAUUUUUUUAAACA